GCCCAAGCAGUGCGCAUCCGGGACGGCCUCGCUCUCUCCUCGAACAGUACCGGAAGCCGUCUCUCUAGGUCCAGUCUUCCACCCGCGUUCCUCCUGUGCGCACGCGCUGCGUGUCACCGGCCGGAAGCGGCUGCCGGGAGCGGACGUCAAAUCCGUCUCUGCGUUUUGAGCUUUCCGUUUUUGUACGUGAGCGUCUCCAGUCAACAGUCGCACACGCCCAGCGCCUGGGGGUCUCAACGCACGUUAGCGUCGCCUCCCCUGCGCCUCCCACCGCGGUUUGACGUCUCGAGACCCAUCUUGCCUGGGACAGAAGCGCAGAGGAGGCAAGUCCAGGAGUCAAGAAUGACUCUUUCUCAGGUAAAGUCGUAUCUGGGUUCCUUGUUCUGUCCUCUGUGUCCUGCACUACCACUGGGCCAUGCUCAUCUCACUCUGAAGCGUCCCUCCUGACAUGCUUGCUCACGUUCACCCCAGGACCUUAUCUGAGCCCCUCUAUCUCCACGCAGAUUCCAGCUCAUACUUGAACUGUAUGUGUAUUUAAUGGAGAUUGAGUUGCUUGUUACUAUUUUUGAAUAUUUUUUUGCAAGAGGCUGCCUGAUUGACUCAGUAGGUAGAUCAAGUGAGUCUUGAUCUGGAGGUUCGAGCCAGACUUUGGGAGUGUGAUUACUUAGAUUUUUUUUUCUUCACAGUGUUGUUUUUGUAAGCAGGCUUAACAUUACAAUUUUAUUUACCUGUAAUGCAAUUCAUACGUGUUUAUUGUACCAGAAAUGCUGAAAUGCACAUGAGUAAAAAUGAUAUAGAGAAUGAAGAUUUACCUAUAAAAAGAUGUUACUUAAAGACCGUUAAUUUGACUUCGUUUUUUUUCAGUGUGUGUGUUGUAGGUGCACAUGUGUGUGAGCAGGAGCCUGUGGUGUGUAUAAAACACCGUGUCAUUUCAGAAAUAAGUUUGAUAUUUAUUUCAACUUUGAAGGAACUGUUGGCAUUCAGGGAUGUGGCCCCAGAGUUCUCUCAGGAGGAGUGGGAGUGCCUGGACCCGCUCAGAGGGCCUGGUACAGGGACGUGAUGUUGGAGAACUACAGGACCCUGGUCUCCCUGGCUGUCCAGGAACUGGGAUUGGUUUAUGGAAAAGCUGCAGGACAUCAUCUACCGGUUUCCAUGUCAGCAAGACCCUCUUUCUGAGCUGAAUACCAUCUCCACUGUGGAGGAAGGAAGAGCUUGCACGGCCAGGAGUGGGGUGAAACUAGCGGCAAAACCCAG
Molecule: long non-coding RNA, 1254 nt
Filed under: Felis catus (domestic cat)
Lineage: Eukaryota; Metazoa; Chordata; Mammalia; Carnivora; Felidae
Description: lncRNA (ENSFCAG00000049413.1)
Source: RNAcentral